Molecule: ribosomal RNA, 254 nt
Filed under: uncultured bacterium
Lineage: Bacteria
Description: partial 16S ribosomal RNA
Rfam family: Bacterial small subunit ribosomal RNA
Source: RNAcentral
UACAGAGGUCUCAAGCGUUGUUCGGAUUCAUUGGGCGUAAAGGGUGCGUAGGUGGCGCCAUAAGUCAGGUGUGAAAUCUCGGGGCUUAACUCCGAAACUGCAUUUGAUACUGUGGUGCUUGAGGACUGGAGAGGAGACUGGAAUUCACGGUGUAGCAGUGAAAUGCGUAGAUAUCUGGAGGAACACCGGUGGCGAAGGCGACAUCCUGGACCAACACUGACGCUGAGUGAGCGAAAGCCAGGGGAGCAAACGGG